GGACCACUCUGAUUUGGAGUUAAGGCCAUACGGACAGCCGGGUCCACUGCCGA
Molecule: non-coding RNA, 53 nt
Submitted as: unclassified sequences
Source: Rfam